AGCUUUUUGUAUCUGUGCUGAGAUUUCGACACACCAAACCACAAGGGUUGAUGAAACUUUCAAGAUAAGUGAAGCG
Molecule: non-coding RNA, 76 nt
Organism: Schistosoma margrebowiei
Lineage: Eukaryota; Metazoa; Platyhelminthes; Trematoda; Strigeidida; Schistosomatidae
Source: Rfam